Long non-coding RNA from Prionailurus viverrinus (fishing cat), 1108 nucleotides. RefSeq lists it as uncharacterized. The record is from RefSeq and is a predicted model, not a curated record. Lineage: Eukaryota; Metazoa; Chordata; Mammalia; Carnivora; Felidae. The transcript has 5 exons.
CAGGCAUGGGCUUCUAGGAGUGGGACCCCUAGCAGUCAUGAGGGAGGCUUCGACAGGGACCAAGAAGCCCUAAAUGAGAAGGUGGGGAUGAAUACCAGGAAAACUGGUGACUCCCGUCUCUGCCCGCAACAUGUUGAGGCUUAGAAACCAUGUUACAUACAGAUGGGACCAUGAGCACUUUCAGGAGAAAUCAGAGAAUGUCCGAGGAAUACCAGUAAUCCAGUUGGAUGGAAAAAAAAAAAAAAUCAUCAGAGGAACAGCAACAAUCAAAGCUGGAAAGGGAAACCAGUUGGCCCACUAUGAGGGGGUGAGUCAGCGACAGUCAAGAGGCCAUUUUAUCAAGCUCACACUGGGAAAAUCAGUUUUUACCAGAGAGCCCAAAAACAGAUAGACACUGAGGACUCACCAGAUCAAAUCAAGACGGGUCAAGCCAAUUAAAAACAAAACGAAACAAAAACACUGCUUGAGCAUGAGCUGUGUGCCAGGCACAGCUGGAAAUUCCUGCCCCAGAGAGCUUGUUUGCUGGGAGUACACAGGACAGAAACCCAGAAAAUACGAGGAAGAAAUGGCUGGCAUACGAUGGGUGCCCAACUACUGGAAGACAGUGAUUUUCAGAAACCUGUUCAUCAGGGACACUUCAAGUAGGUGAAGCAGACUGGAGAUCAGAGGUGCAAACGUGCUCUGCAGAAAGGGGAAGUUGUAUGAAGCCCGCGAAGGCAGAGACCCAGCUAGAGACCCAGCCCGAACGGAAGACAGCUGGAAACCAGAAUCCAAGCCCUUCCCAUCUACCUCUGUGGACGGGGACUUGGAUCUUUCCUGCCUAACGGAUACUUCCUGGGCUGCUGAGGGGUGCUGGCUGCGGGCCGAUGGCUUGUGGUUUCUCCUUGAGGUUUCCGUGGAGUCAAAACAACACAUGGACUUUGAUCUCUCUUCAGCAGUUGGCAGAAAGCUCAAUUCCAAGCAGAGGCCAAAUCAACUUUUGAGGACUAAUCCCUCAGCCUCCCCACUGUCAGGGACAGCCACUUCUGGAAGCUUCACAUCUAAUUCAGGCUGCAAAAAGCAGCCUUGAAUUCUUAUUUCUAUCACCCACUAAAUCCAUUCAAUUGCC